CAGCCUGAUGCAGCCAUGCCGCGUGUAUGAAGAAGGCCUUCGGGUUGUAAAGUACUUUCAGUCGUGAGGAAGGUGGUAGUGUUAAUAGCACCAUCAUUUGACGUUAGCGACAGAAGAAGCACCGGCUAACUCCGUGCCAGCAGCCGCGGUAAUACGGAGGGUGCGAGCGUUAAUCGGAAUUACUGGGCGUAAAGCGCAUGCAGGUGGUUCGUUAAGUCAGAUGUGAAAGCCCGGGGCUCAACCUCGGAAUAGCAUUUGAAACUGUCGGACUAGAGUACUGUAGAGGGGGGUAGAAUUUCAGGUGUAGCGGUGAAAUGCGUAGAGAUCUGAAGGAAUACCAGUGGCGAAGGCGGCCCCCUGGACAGAUACUGACACUCAGAUGCGAAAGCGUGGGGAGCAAACAGGAUUAGAUACCCUGGUAGUCCACGCCGUAAACGAUGUCUACUUGGAGGUUGUGGCCUUGAGCCGUGGCUUUCGGAGCUAACGCGUUAAGUAGACCGCCUGGGGAGUACGGUCGCAAGAUUAAAACUCA
This 532-nucleotide ribosomal RNA is filed under the name Vibrio sp. Its description in RNAcentral is "bacterial SSU rRNA". It matches the Rfam family "Bacterial small subunit ribosomal RNA", at positions 379 to 903 of the family's 1533-position model. Lineage: Bacteria; Pseudomonadati; Pseudomonadota; Gammaproteobacteria; Vibrionales; Vibrionaceae. The record is from RNAcentral.